UUCUUAUUAAUAGAAGUAUAUAUUUAAUUAAUACAUUUAAAAUUAAUUUUAACAUUUUUUCAGUGUAGAUAAUUGACACAUUAGGGAGUGUAAUUAACACUACCAAAAUAGUUUAAAAAAUUAACUCGGAGCAGUGUUAGUUGUCUAAUCCCUCAGUGUUAUUUUAACACUGUUUUGUGAGUUAAUAAAGGAACUCUGGUAGAGUGUUAAAUGUUUAACUAUUUUGAAAGUGUUAAUUUAACUCUGGAGAGUGUGGAGCUAUAUAAACUCUCAAAAAGUGUUGAAAUCAACUCUGUGGGAGUUAAUUCAACACUGGACUUUUUGCUGUGCUCCCUUCGCUUUGAAAAUCUACACUCAUACUCCACGUUGACAAAUUCGGUGCUCUCCGCAAGUAUUUGCGUUAAAGUUCAUAUUGUUUGACCUACCCAUAUGGAUCCUUUAAACAAAGGAUGAUAGGAAGUGGCACUGUUUUGUGUCCUUUUGAACGCCGCUGUAGAGGGCAGCUCUGAGAAGCUUCACCUCGGACUGAUAAAAGCGAUGAGUUAUCGCCUUGUUUAUCCUGCUGUUGAAACUUGGAGUGCAUUAUCAAAGGAGAAGCCAAUGGAAGAGUAUUAGAGAGCAUAUUUUUAAAAUCUUGUAAAUCUCGUGAAUUUAUGUCAUCGUGACUCGGGGACCUCACCUUGCCCUUCUGGUUUCUAUUGGCAUUGACCCCCCCCAAGUCACGCAGUCUGUAACUGUGAAGUGGUGUCGCUUCCUCUCUCUCUUUUUUUCUUUCUCCAGCCAGGAUUUAGCAUGCUGACCCCCUGGCUCUCCGAGAGGUGCUCAUGGUCUUCUCAGGCUCUGGGGAGGUGGCCAGAGCAUUAGGCCGGGACCCACUCAUCUGCAGCAGUCCCUUUCUAAUCAAAUAAGGCUGUGAGGGAUUGGCUUUAAAUGCUGGUGGCCCGGAUGUGAUGGCGUGUGUGAGAUUGACAGGCCGUGAUGAGCAGGACGUCGGCAGGGUGAAAAUACCAUUAAUGUUUCCCAGCUGCUGGAUUACCACAAGUUGUCUAACCGCUUUCCAUGAGAUCAGUGGGACUCAGCGCUGCAGUUUUUUCUCAAAAAGCCGGAAGAGUGAGGGAGUACACCGUCUUCAGAAUGGAUAGACACAGUGUGAAUUUGUGUGAAUUUUUUCUAAUUUGGAGUCUGCACAUGAGCCAAAGUUUUCUUUGGAUGUUCAAUUGUAAAGAUUGUGAAGCUUUAUCUUGUGUUGGUUUAUCCGUUUUCAUUUCUUUGAAAUCAGUUUGAUGUUUGUGAUUAUUUGCACAAAAUAUGUUGUUUGUCCAUUGCAUUCAGAAAACAAACUAUUCCAUUUAAUGUUUAUACAGGCCUUAUGUUAGUUUAAGAUGGAAAAAAGAUCCAUUUCAUAGCAGUCACCAUCUAGAACUAAAACACUUACUUAUACUGUAAUUUAUUAUUUGCCACGGGUCUCAUAAAAACUGUUGUUGUUUAAUAUAUUGCCUUUGGCUACUUCUGAAUGGCCAGAAUGUUAUUUCUUAGAAUACCAGCCUUGAUGGUCAGCUGAGGAUUAUAUUUUCAAGUUCACAUCUUUUUCUUUUCUUUAUCUCUAUUAGGAGGCAGAUGUAAAUAUUAAUAUAAUUUAUUGAGUUAUUUACCUUCAUGUUAAAUAUAGUAAAUAUGCCUGUCCAUUGUUGUAA
Non-coding RNA from Gasterosteus aculeatus aculeatus (three-spined stickleback), 1694 nucleotides. The record is from RefSeq and is a predicted model, not a curated record. NCBI's taxonomy places the organism in Eukaryota, Metazoa, Chordata, Actinopteri, Perciformes, Gasterosteidae.